This 640-nucleotide ribosomal RNA is filed under the name Micromonospora sp. Its description in RNAcentral is "bacterial SSU rRNA". It matches the Rfam family "Bacterial small subunit ribosomal RNA", at positions 62 to 721 of the family's 1533-position model. Lineage: Bacteria; Bacillati; Actinomycetota; Actinomycetes; Micromonosporales; Micromonosporaceae. The record is from RNAcentral.
UCGAGCGGAAGGCCCUUCGGGGUACUCGAGCGGCGAACGGGUGAGUAACACGUGAGCAACCUGCCCCAGGCUUUGGGAUAACCCCGGGAAACCGGGGCUAAUACCGAAUAUGACCUUCUGCCGCAUGGUGGAGGGUGGAAAGUUCUUCGGCUUGGGAUGGGCUCGCGGCCUAUCAGCUUGUUGGUGGGGUGAUGGCCUACCAAGGCGACGACGGGUAGCCGGCCUGAGAGGGCGACCGGCCACACUGGGACUGAGACACGGCCCAGACUCCUACGGGAGGCAGCAGUGGGGAAUAUUGCACAAUGGGCGGAAGCCUGAUGCAGCGACGCCGCGUGAGGGAUGACGGCCUUCGGGUUGUAAACCUCUUUCAGCAGGGACGAAGCGCAAGUGACGGUACCUGCAGAAGAAGCGCCGGCCAACUACGUGCCAGCAGCCGCGGUAAGACGUAGGGCGCGAGCGUUGUCCGGAUUUAUUGGGCGUAAAGAGCUCGUAGGCGGCUUGUCGCGUCGACUGUGAAAACCCGCAGCUCAACUGCGGGCCUGCAGUCGAUACGGGCAGGCUAGAGUUCGGUAGGGGAGACUGGAAUUCCUGGUGUAGCGGUGAAAUGCGCAGAUAUCAGGAGGAACACCGGUGGCGAAGG